Molecule: ribosomal RNA, 502 nt
Filed under: uncultured bacterium
Lineage: Bacteria
Description: partial 16S ribosomal RNA
Rfam family: Bacterial small subunit ribosomal RNA
Source: RNAcentral
AUUGAACGCUGGCGGCGUGCCUAACACAUGCAAGUCGAGCGGUAACAGGUGUAGCAAUACAUGCUGACGAGCGGCGAACGGGUGAGUAAUGCUUCGGAAUCUACCUUAUGGUGGGGAAUAACUAGCCGAAAGGUUAGCUAAUACCGCAUACGUCCUACGGGAGAAAGCAGGGGAUCGCAAGACCUUGCGCCAAAAGAUGACCCGAGUUCGGAUUAGCUAGUUGGUAGGGGAACGGCCUACCAAGGCGACGAUCCGUAGCUGGUCUGAGAGGACGACCAGCCACACUGGGACUGAGACACGGCCCAGACUCCUACGGGAGGCAGCAGUGGGGAAUAUUGGACAAUGGGGGAAACCCUGAUCCAGCGACGCCGCGUGUGUGAAGAAGGCCUGCGGGUUGUAAAGCACUUUUAGUGGGGAUGAAAUGUGCAGGGUUAAUACCUCUGCAUUUUGACCUAACCCACAGAAAAAGCACCGGCUAACUCUGUGCCAGCCGCCGCGGUAA